GCAAUUUCUUCCUCCCCUGGGGCUGAGGGUCCAAGAACAGAGAUCAUCAUCUUCCUGAAGACAGAGGGUCCCGGACUGUCUCUCAUCUACUUCAAAUCAAGGAGGAGUAAUAUUCCAGGUAUGGAGACAGCCACAGGGGAUUCAUAGCUGUGUCCGACUCCAGUAUUGUCUCUUUUUUACAUGUGGCUUGUGCUGCCAAAAAAUUAUGGCAAGAGACCAAUCUCACUCCAAUACCAGCAAAAACACAGCUAAUUUCACACUGAUUGCCAGCCCCAAUUGACCAGAAGUCCAAGUUCUGUCUGAAACAUUUUUAGACAAGAAAAAGCCACAA
Vidua chalybeata is the source of this 331-nucleotide long non-coding RNA. RefSeq lists it as uncharacterized. The record is from RefSeq and is a predicted model, not a curated record. NCBI's taxonomy places the organism in Eukaryota, Metazoa, Chordata, Aves, Passeriformes, Viduidae. The transcript is spliced from 3 exons.